RNAcentral lists this Y RNA (112 nucleotides) under Microcebus murinus (gray mouse lemur). RNAcentral's name for it is "Y RNA (ENSMICG00000044877.1)". It matches the Rfam family "Y RNA". From Rfam's summary of the family: Y RNAs are components of the Ro ribonucleoprotein particle (Ro RNP), in association with Ro60 and La proteins. The Y RNAs and Ro60 and La proteins are well conserved, but the function of the Ro RNP is not known. Lineage: Eukaryota; Metazoa; Chordata; Mammalia; Primates; Cheirogaleidae. The record is from Rfam by way of RNAcentral.
GGUUGGUCUGAAGGUAGUGAGUUAUCUCACUUGAGUGUUCAUAGUCAAUUACAGAUUUAACUUGUUCGGCUAUUUCCCCCCUUUUCUCACCACUGCACUUAACUAGUCUUAA